UUUGCUUAAAGAUUUGUUUUUGUAGUCGCGUGUUGUAUUAUUUUUCGGAUAAAGUUGUACUGUUUAUCGAAUGUUCGUUGUAUUAUAAUAGCGUGUUAAUCUGUUUAACAAACAAGCACAAGUGAAGAUAAAUAUUGCCUCUUUUCUAAACAAAAUAUCGUUUGUGUUCAGGGCGUUAUCAUCGUGGGAACUCGUGAACGGGAUGACAGGCUGCGGUCUCUUGCUCGAGGAUUGACAGUAAAUCACUUGUCACCGCUAAGCACGUGCUGUGAAAACUACUAAUGCGCGUUUUCUGGAAAUGUGAAUGACGGGUCUUCAAUUCAUUGCCGAUACGUGACGUAGAAAUUUGUUCUGGACGUGCACGUACAUAUGCGUCUCUUGUAAUGACUUGCAGAUGCUGGCAAAAGAGACGCCAAUGAGAAGGUCGGUUUCGAGCCGGUAAAGACGCACACACGCGCUGGCUUGGCAAAUGGCAGCAUCUUAUGCGCGCAAUUUCUCACAAUUAGCCUAGUUAAACGAGGGGCCUCGCCUGUCAUUCUGUCGGUAAUCAACCGGAAAUCGAUUCGAUACGACGACGACCGCGAUCGCGCGAGAGAAGAAGUAACCAUUCGAAUAGACGAAUUCAUAAUCGAGAAACGAGAGAAUCGCCGGACAGUCGACGACUGUGACUCUGAUUAACGCUUAAUUAUGAGUUAUUAAAGAUUGCGUUGAGCGAGACGAUCGGUACGGGAUGAUGAAUAUGCAUUCCACAUCACAAAGGCGUAGUUAGAGGCAAUAGUUGACCGGCAAACGAUCCCUAAUUGCUGCGUAUAAAUUAUUACCGUGUAAUGAUCUAUCUCGUUGAAAGAAACAUUUCUGACGAAAUGAGGAAAACAAUGCGAACAAACGGUGUGAUUGUACAAUUCACAGGCUUGAAAUCGUCGAUCUUGCAUCGACCAAGUCUCGCUCUUGUGUUUCUUUAGUAAAAGUCGCCGAGAAACUUAAUCUUAAAGUCGCCGAAGAAUCCCUAAAUAAAUUGGAUUGCAAAGUGUUUUAUUUUUGUUGCAAACAACCAUAAGCGGAUUUUCGCAGAAAUCCCGCGUCCAUCGUUUAUUCAUGACCGCCUCCGGGACGAACACACCGGCCACUUUCGAGCGUCGUGUUAAAGAAAAACGAGAAGCAUCGCGAUCCGGAGCUUCGAACCGGAUUUCGGGAUUAGAAUCAGAUACCCUCCCCUUCUCUGAAACGUCGUCGAUGCGUUUUCGUUUUACACGUACGUGAGGCUUUGAGAGGCGACGGAGAUCGCGCCUUCGUGCGCACUCAUCCCGAGUCGGGCGUUUCGAGGAACCGCGACAAUGGGGCCCACAAAGGCGAGCGGGAAAGAGCCUCCCGCUCGUGUCCGUUCCUUCUGCGCCAUGAAAUCACGAUCCAUUCGUCUCGCCUGGAAAUAUAUUACGCCGGCAGGCGACGAACCGCCAAAAAAGAAGAGCGCCCAUCGUAGCUUGUUGCACACGGACGUGACGCGGCGGAACACAAUUACCACGAUCGGCCCCCGUCAACUUUUGUUGUUAUUAUUUCGCGCCACGAAUUGAGAAUUGUAUUCUUUAUGGCGAUAUUUUUGCCAAUUCUCCUCGACACCGUCUGCGCAUCGCAUUGUUAGCAAUAUCUUUGAAUAAUCAAUCUGUUGCUUGCGUGAGGACGUAAGAAGAUCAGUAAUAAAACACUAUUCUGCACAAAAGUUAUAAUUUACGUGAUAAAACAAAUUCUACAAAUCUCAGUAUCUAACAUCAAGGCGUGCCACAUUAAGGUGAUCCAACAAAGUGGAGUUCAAAUUUCUUCAGGACCUCGAAAGUGCCCAACCUAUUCGGCGCCAGCCACGAAGGUCCAACACAGAAGUAUAUUUUAUUCGGAAGAAAAGAGAGAAGAAGAGAAACGAAGGGGGCUUGAAAUAGGGACUUUGAAGAACGGAGCUAAAUCGCUCGUCUGGCAACUAACGUGCCAUGAAGCCUUUCAGGCCCCUGGGUCAGCUUCGUUUUGAAUUUCUCUCUCUCUUUCUCUCUCUUUUUUUUUUCUUCUCUUUUUCUCUCUCGCUUCUCUCUUUUAUGUUCACAAUAUAUAUACAUUCAAGCUUUGUACGUUGCAAUUCCAAGAAUUCAGAUAAACGCAAAUCUGCUUUUUAUAUCGUUAACAUACAUUUAUAAAUUUACUUAGGCGUAUGUUAAUCUGAAAAAAAUUGUUUAAAAAAUCAACUUACGGAUUUUUUUUAGCACAUUGCACGGUGACAAGUUUAACGAAAACAAAACAAAAUACAUCGCGCUGACAAAGAUUAAAUAAUACGUGGCGUUUUAUUGGCAUUGUCGUGCGGGCUGAGCUGACGACUUCCGGCGAUUACCAUUCAAAUCCUCAUCAUUUAGUCAAGAGGCUAAUGUAUUUUUUGUCUGGAAGCACAUCGAAGUGUGUUAACGCGAAUGUCUAACGCACACGUUCGAAUUUCUUUGAGGAUAUUUGAGAAACGUUUUUUUUUUUCAUCUACGCAGUUACGUUUAUCUGACUGUUGCGCGCAAGGAAUAAAAUCCGUUGGUAUGUGCGCACGUCGCGAGAUAUUUUUAUGAAUAGAACCGGACGCCAUUAAUACACUCCGAUCGUUGUAUUCUCUUCUUAAGUGGCAGUGUAACGGUCAAGAUUGGCCGAUGGUUACAUUGGAUAAUCGUAUCUAUUAUAGCGAAGGGUCUACCGCGAAGAGCUACUGAAGUUCUUCUCGAGUUAAGCUCGCGCGCGUCGCCACCGACCGUAAAAAUUCAAAAUGCAAACGCAACAACCAAGUUACGCGUAUAUACGCGCGCGCUUAUUGCGCUUCGCGUUCACUAUUAUUAGCCGUCGGCCAAUCUUGGUGUUUAAUCGUGCGACGCGCGGAAAAGAGAAAGAUAACCACAGGUAUAUAUCUCUUUCAUUAAUUUCCUUUAAGGAUUUCGCGGAGAUUUCUCUCCGUCUGGAUCUUAAUCGACCGUCGUUACCUUCAUCGUUGCCGUUUGGCGCCGGGAUAAUUAAUCGUCUUGUUCACUACCGCUUCGAGUGGUCGGCAAAGGAUACUGCGGUUGGUUUAUCACGAAAAAGAAUUAUAAAGAACGAGCGAGGGAGGAGGAAGGAGGAGAGAGCGGGGAUAGAAGAUGAGACUGCGAGAGAGAUGAGAGUUCGACUGAAUCCCGAUGGAACGUUGUAUAAGAGGCGACUACCUGCUGUACGAUCACAGUCUACUUCUUCUGUAAGAACGGGAUUCGCGCCUACGCGACCAAGUAACCAAGUCGUUCAAAAUCAGUACCUGGAGAAAAAUUUGCUUUUCUUCUCGCAAUUUGCAGAUUACGAAUUGACUUGAUUGACUGCUAUUAUCUUAACAAAAAAUAGUCGACGCGUAUGUGUUGCAAAAGUUUGACACGCGCAAACGCGAAAAAGAUAUAACCGCGAUGUAGCUCUCGGCGCGAUCGAGAAAAUCGAAAAUUGCAAACGCGCGCGUUGCGAAUAGGUAUUCCAAUCUCGCGUAUUUACUCGCAGCUGCAACGAUGGCUUGCAACGAUUCCGAGGCAAUUGAACCGAGACGAAAUGCCGCCUGUACCGAGACCGCAGCGCGGCUAACCGCAGAACCCGAUUAUUUUCGAUAUGGGAUCGAGAAGGGUGCCGCAACCAAAGGAGAGUGCCUGGAGAAAGAUCCUGUAUGGAAAACUCGAAAUCCCAGACCGCGUGAAGCGAGCGCACAAAUCUCGCCGCCCAUGAAAUCGAAUUAACUCCGCGGCGCCUGACUUUGCGUCCCGCCGUUUUUUUACACGAGACAUCGUCCCCGCAUUCUCCGUCUUCGUUUUCGUUUCCUCGCCCGUCGUGUAUACGGCGGGCUGUACGUCGGAAUUUUUAACUGAAAAACGAAACACGUCGGCGAAGCGAUCACGUUCGGUCGUUUCGGAUCGCGUCACAUUCUGGACGAUCGCGACGAGAUUGGACUCGGCGAUCGUAAAGAUCGCGACAGAUUGGACUCUUUUUGAGAUAACAACGUCGAAGCGUUGAAGUAAAUUUCUUAUAUAUUUUUGUUUUACAUUUUACCGCAAGAAUGUCAAUUAAAGUAAUAGAGCAAACGCAACGCAUCUCGCUGAUUCGUCCGUAACAAAGCAAUUUUUCUGGAUGACCGAGUUAACGCGUAAAAAAAAAAAAAAAAAAAACAAUCUAGCGGGUAUUCUAGCCGCGAGCAUUUUUCAGAAACGGCGCGGUUAGAAAACCGACAGGCGUGGCAUAGCAUGAGGAACGUAAGUAUUUAAUGCCAAGUCGCUGUCCGCAUUCUCGGUUGACAAGACUCCGUAGCUCUCACCGCUCUCCGAGGCGGUCGCGCGCUGUUGAAACUAAAGCGCGCGGUCUCCUCGCACAUAUAAUGCACGUCGUGGUACACGGAGGUGUAUCUAACAAAUAAGGCACUUGUUAGUCGCUCUCCGAGACUAGCUACUCGGAGCAGCGAUCCCGCGGGACGAGUUUUGCGCCGCAACCCUUUUGCCCAUAAUCGGCGGCACAAUACCUGUCUCCGGAGGAGACUGCCCCGAAGCUACGAACGUUUCUUGCAAGUACAUCGCCAUAAUCGGCAACCGAAUCUUUCAGAGUAUCUCUGUUCUUAAUCACCGGCGCGCAAUUUCAGUUCCAAACUCGAACAGAUCGUUUUUCUCAAGGAGAACGGCUGUGAACCGAAGAAGUUGUGGAAGUUACUUCUGAAAAAAAAUCAGAACGCACAGGCGUGUGAUUUUAAAUUUAAAUAAAUAUAUUAGACGCUUGUAUACUGUUUUUUUUUUUUUUUUUUAAUAAUCAAUGUACACAGUUGUACUUCUCCUUUCUUGAAUAAAUUAAAAAAGGUAUGUGUUGCGAAAAUUUUAUCACCUCGCGAUCACAGAAGUCCCCACUUCGUCUGUCAGUUCACUCGGUGACAUUUUCCUUUCGAUACAUUGACAGUAAAAAUUAUCAAACAAAUGUUAAAGAAAAAAAUUAUUUUAGCGAAUAAUUUCUAUUACAUUAUUCAACUUCAUAAAAUUGUGAUUAUAUUAUCUGAUCAAUGUCUUAGAGAAAAACUUGAGUUUAUAGACUGAAUCUAUACAUAAGGAAGUGUAUGGCAAUUUGAACGAACAAAGCGGCAUGGAGACACGUGCGCCUGUCGAAUGUAACCACGUAAGUGGCCGCCGCGAAAGGAAAAUUGUAUUAGCAGAGAUUCAAAUCCGUGAUUCCGAUAUUCGCUAAGAGCGAUUUGAAUCUUUGCUAAGUCUUCGUGGUUCCGAUUUGCGCCGAUAAGAU
This is a long non-coding RNA of Pseudomyrmex gracilis, 5292 nucleotides long. RefSeq lists it as uncharacterized. The record is from RefSeq and is a predicted model, not a curated record. NCBI's taxonomy places the organism in Eukaryota, Metazoa, Arthropoda, Insecta, Hymenoptera, Formicidae. The transcript is spliced from 3 exons.